GCCCAAGUAGCUCAGUUGGUAGAGCAUCAGCCUUGUAAUCUGAAGGUCACCGGUUCGAUUCCGGUCUUGGGCU
This 73-nucleotide transfer RNA is filed under the name Spirochaetota bacterium. RNAcentral describes it as "Spirochaetes bacterium tRNA-Thr". It matches the Rfam family "tRNA". From Rfam's summary of the family: Transfer RNA (tRNA) molecules are approximately 80 nucleotides in length. Their secondary structure includes four short double-helical elements and three loops (D, anti-codon, and T loops). Lineage: Bacteria; Pseudomonadati; Spirochaetota. The record is from RNAcentral.